Molecule: long non-coding RNA, 9392 nt
Filed under: Nicotiana benthamiana
Lineage: Eukaryota; Viridiplantae; Streptophyta; Magnoliopsida; Solanales; Solanaceae
Description: long non-coding RNA (NBEN_LNC021405)
Source: RNAcentral
UCCGACGACCUUUGAGAAUAAAUUAACCAAAUAAGUAGUUGGAAAAGAAAAGAAAACUUGAACUCAACGGUCCAUGAAAAUGAGCUCCACCAAAGAAAAUUUCGUGAAUUAGCAGUAAAAUAAAAGACAAUGAGUGCAAUUGCCUGAAAUCAUCAUAUCAGUAUAUUCUUGAGUUAAAAAGAACUCAUUCCGCAAUCAAACGGGAUGGGGAGUAUUUAUAGCAAUCAUCGUAAAACACGAUUUCUGUUUGUAAAUCAAACGAGAUGGGGAGUUAAAAAGAACUCAUUCCGCAAUCAUCGCGAAACAUGUCCGGCGACCACAAUUUCUGUUUGUACAGUGAAUUCACCGCCAUCGACGGUGAUUCUGAUGGCGGAGCUGCGGUGAGAAGACCUAACCAACCCAACCCAACCCAACCCCUAUGAGAGGGUGGUGGGGAGGAGCACCGAUGACUCGGGCAAUAGGUGAAGAAUUUGGAAAAGAAAGUUGAAUACGAGAGAACCAGGAGAAGGGAGGAAGAGAUCACAUUUGGCUUUUGAUGAAAGGACAAAAUAGUCCCUCACAUAAAUGGGUGGAAGGAUAAAACAGUCCCUCAAAACUAAACAAUUAAACAAGUAAAAUAAAUAAAUAAAUCAGACAUUGACACGUGGUGCGCGUGUACUACACAUCCCAUCCCAAGAUUAAUUAAGGGUUAUUAACUGGAUAUUAAAUUCAUCCCAAACAAAAAUAGAGGAGACAUAAGUCAUCCGUAAAGUUAAAGUGUGUAAAUAAUUUUUUGGAACAAGUUUGAUGGAUAAUUUAUAUAUUAUCUCUUAAGUUUAUAUAUAUUAUGAAUUAAAAUAUGUACUCGACUUUGCCAAAAGUAUAGUAAAUCAAAAGUUCUUCUUCACGUGUCAACUGGUUGGUACAAUCCAACUCAUUUACUUUUGUUUUCUUUUCUCUUACUCUUUGAUAUGCUUAUCCUUUAAUUGAUUAAUAUGUUGCGUCGAUUUGCUGUAAUCAUUCAGACUACAGCAUGAUUGAAGUAUUUCAUUUAGGAUAUUGAGGUUUGUGUGCCUUGUUACUCUUCAAGGGAUGAAUGGAAUAUAGUAUUGAGCACUUGUUUAAUAAAAGGGAUUUUAUAUAUAUAUAUAUAUAUAUAUAUAUAUAUUCCAUACUAUAUUACGUAAUAUGUAGAUAUGGUACUUCUUGUACCUCUCAAGUCUAAGAUCCUCCUCAUGUGAUGUUACUUCCCUAAUCUCAGGCUGAACUUGAACAACUAGUUGCACUUGUAUAACCUCUGGACCUGGUCAACAUGGGCCCACUGCUCUAGGGUACGGGCCGUAAGAGUCUGAGUUACUCUCUUAUUUGAGAUGUGGAUGGUGCAAGUGGGAAUGGGAUCAACCCUGCCUAAGCUAGAGUACUAAACAAGCUCAAGAACUAUGCGAGGAUCUUCUGAAGUGAAGGGGUGGCAACAGGCGCCUCAGAUGCAUGGCCCCCAAUUAGAGCUAAUGGUGGCUCAUCUAUCCCAGCUCGGGCAGGUGCUCUAGUUGCACCAUGAACGGCUUUUGCCCCGGCCCCGGCCUCUCGCGGCUCUAGAAGUGGGCACGAGCUUCUGAUCAUCGAAACCAAUUAUGCAUGUCCUCACCAUCUCUGAGAGGAUAAAAAGAGAAAGAUUCAGGAUUUUGAAUCAACCAUUACCCACAAUAAGAAAUCAAGGAAAUGAAGGUUCCUAACAGUUCUAAAGCCUCUUAAAGAUAAGUAUAGACGUCUCUGUAUAUAUCCACAAGACACUACUAAACCCGGUUAUGACUCGUAACACCUAUGAACCUAAAGCUCUAAUACCAAUUUAUCAUGACCGCAAAUCUCCCUUCGUAGGCUGUCGUGCUGGCACCUAGUCUUUAAGACUGGGUAAGCCUAACAUACAUAAAGAAUUAACGGAAAUAAUAAUAAAAAUUCCAAUUAAACGAACAACUAUCAUAAAAGUACUGCACAAUACAACUGAAAAUAACAACCAAAAUCUGGUGAGACCGAGUCAUAAGGUCUGCAUGAGUAUACCAAAACAUCCCCAGUACAUCAGUAUCUAUAAUAGGAAUAUGAAAUAUAAACUAAGAUAGAUGGUGACUCCAAGGCAUGCGAACGUCGACAGGUAUACCUUGAAGUUUGCGAUCCAAGCUCAACUCAUGGAUGCCUAUGCUAGUAUAAAGUACCUAGAUCUGCAAAAAAUGAUGUGCACAAGACAUACUAUGAGUACACCAUAACGGUAACCAGUAAAUAUCAAGUCUAACCUCAGUAGAGUAAUUACGAGGUUAGGUCAAGACACUUAUUAGAAUAAAUAAAGAACCUAAACAGGUAUGGUACAGUAUAAUAAUGGAAAUAAGGAAUCGAUACAAUAAAGAGAUACAACAAGAAUAGCUACAUUACAAUUAAGGCAAUAAAGACAUCACGAAGGGAACACAUAAUAAGAGUAAAAAGAAAACAAUGCAGACAAAACAAAAGUGACGUAAAUGAAAGAUAACAACAAGAGCCACUACUGAGUUACCGCCUUGUAGUCUCAUUCCACAAAUCAAUUCGCAAUCUUUCCUUAUAUCACAUCGAGAGCCUUGCAUUUGGUUUUAAAGAUCAUUUUCCCAAAUAGCUACCCAUGUUUUAGCCCACCUUAUCACACCGCAUGGCUUCAAGUGGUUCUCAUAUUAGGAACGCCUGUAUCAAGCACACCUUAUCUCACCGCAUGCGUAUCAACCCCUAUCCUUAUACCACCACAUGCAUAUCAAUAAUACAACAUAUAUCAAAUCGUACCUCAAGUUUCCAAUACCAUAGCUUGCCAAAGAAGUCAACCAUAAUAAUGUUUCCACAAUAAAUAGGUCAUGGCUCAAUCAUAAUAUAUACAAGAGUCUCAACAAUAGCAAUCGAAAGUGAAUAACUCAUCAAGAAUGGUAUUUAAACAAUUUGCAACUUUGCCUCAAUGUGAUCACGGCUUUUACAAUUUCAACACCAAAACUCAACAAAAAGAUAUUCCAAUAAAUAAAAAAUUUAAGUAAUGUAACUCAAGAGUUAAGUAUUUAACAAGGAAAUUAGUAAAAUCGUAAUUUCAACUAAGCAAGCAUAUGACAAGUAAGAGAUGAGACAAGUAUUAACAAUGUCAAGUGAAGUAUGUAAGGAUGGAUUAAUGAUGAUAAAUAUAAUAUGUGUUGACAAUUCAAUUAAAGGCAUGAAAGGAUUCACAUAGCUUAAAUCGGUCAAUUAUUAUAUUUAGCCCGUGUACCCACUCGUCACCUUACUUAUUCGACUUUCACAUACUACAGUUAACACAAAAGUUUUUUCAUGCAAAUUUAGGUAAGAUACUUACCUCAAAAUACACUAAAUCAAUCCUCUAGUACCUUUUACGUGAAUAUCCAACUCUGAACAACUCGAAUCUAGCAUAAAUAACUUUAUACCAUAAAUACAAAUCAUAGAAAACUAUUCCGAAUAAUAAAGUUGCAAAUUUUAAAGAAAAUAAAAAAUUCAACUCCGGGCUUGUGUCUUGGAACCUAACCAAACAUACAAAAUCCUAACAUCCAUUCUCAUGUCAUUACUUAUGCUUUUCGAUCAUCUUCCUUAGUAACCUCUUGAUAUUUUUGUUGGUUGCUUCUACAGUUUCAUUCAUAUGAGGUCUGUAGGUUGUAGAGUACUUGUGUUUGAUCAUGAAUGUCUCACACAUUGCUUUCAUCAGGUCGCUAUUAAGAUUGGAACUAUUAUCAGUGAUGAUUGAUUCCAGAAUUCUGAACCAACAAACAAUGCAGUCGCGGACAAAAUCUGCCAUAACCUUCUUAGUGACCGCCUUGUAUGAUGUUGCUUCAACCCAUUUGGUGAAAUAAUCAAUUGGUACUAAGAUGAUUAUGUUCCCGUUUGAUAAGGCUGGCUUGAAGGUUCGAUAACAUUCAUUCCCCAAGCGGCGAAUGGCCAUGGUGAGCUUGUUGCAGUAACCUCGUUUUGGACUCUGGGGACGUGCUGAAAUUUUGUCUUUGUGAACCUUUUCCUCAACUCCUGUAAGUAAUGCAAGUAGGGAAGUAUCUUAGAGUUCUUGGUUGCCCACUCCUCUCGAACCUGAUGUAUGAGCAAGUCUGAAUCCCCGAUCACUAGCAAUUCCUGAAUGUUCAUGCCAAUGGCCAUUUUGAGCCCCAAGAUGCAGGCUACAUAGUUGGCCAUAUUAUUGGUGCAAGGGAACUUGAGCUUGGCGGAUACCGGGUAGUGCUGGUCGAUUUCUGAUACUAGGACUGCUCCUAUGCCAACUCCUUUGAAAUUUGCAGCUCCGUCGAAAAACAUCCUCCAACCAACAUAGGAUUCUACAAUAUCUUCUCCUAUGAAAGCUAUUUCUUCGUCGGGAAAAUAUGUCUUCAAUGGUUCAUACUCUCCUUCCACAGGAUUUUCUGCGAGAUGAUCUGCCAAAUCCUGUCCUUUUCCUUCCUUUUGGGUGACAUAGACAAUGUCGAAUUCACUCAACAAAAUUUGCCACUUGGCGAGCUCGCCAGCGGGCACGGGUUUCUGAAAAAUAUAUUUCAGUGGAUCCAUUUUUGAUAUGAGGUAGGUGGUGUAAGCACAAAAAUGAUGCCUCAACUUCUGAGCUAUCCAAGUUAAAGCAUAACAGGUGCGUUCUAAUAAGGAAUACCGAGCCUCGUACGGGGUAAAUUUCUUGCUGAGUUAGUAAAUAGCUUGCUCUACCUUAAACCAUCAUAGGAUUUUGCAAUAUCUUCUUCUAUAAAAGAUACCUCUUCAUCGGGAAAAUAUGUUUUUAAAGACACUUAUCCGCCAAGGCUUGCCCUUUGAUUGUUUUCUAGGUCACACAAACAAUGACGAAUUCACUUAGCAGGAUUUUUCACUUUGCGAGCUUGCCAGCGGGCAUGGAUUUCUGGAAGAUAUACUUCAGCGGGUCCAUCCUUGAUAUAAGAUAAGUAGUGUAGGCACAGAAGUAAUGCCUCAAUUUCUAAGCUACCCAAGGCAAAUCACAACAAGUGCGCUCUAGAAGAGAAUACUGGGUCUCGUACGAUGUGAACUUCUUACUAAAAUAGUAUAUGGCUUGCUCCUUUCUCCCUGAUUCAUUGUAUUGUUCCAGAACACAACCGAAUGCUCCAUCCAAUACUGCCAGGUAAAGCAAUAGAGGUAUUUCUGGCUCGGGCGAAACUAAGACUGGCAGCUUUGACAGGCAUUCCUUAAUUCUGUCGAAAGAUUUCCGACAAUCACUAGUCCACUUGGUAACAUUGUCCUUUUUCAUCAUUUUAAAGAUGGGUCCACAAAUGACAGUGGACUGAGCUAUAAAUCGGCUGAUAUAGUUGAGUCUCCCCAGGAAACUCAUUACGUCUUUCUUGUUCUUUGGCAGUGGCAAUUCUUGGAUGGCUUUGACCUUUCAGUAGAUAGUCAAGACUCACACGCAUAGUCAAAGUGAAGAAAAAAGUCAAAACAAGUAAAGGUUUCACAGUAAUAAGGGAGGAAACCCUUAUGAAAAAUUAGGGUUUUUAAAAAAUCAGUUGAGUUUAGAGAUGACAAAUAGGUGAAACAACAGGCGAUUUCAGAGUCCCAAGUGAAAACCCUAAAAAUUUGGGUUUUCAGUAAACCAAACAGAUAGGCUCAAGAACUCGAAUAAAUCCCCCAAAUUAGGGUUCAAAUAAACCUAGAGAUGAUAAGCAUAUGAAUCGAUAUAAACCUUAACAAUAGACUCAAACAAAAAUCCUAAAAAUUAGGGUUUUCACCAUGCUAAUUCAGAUAAGGAAAACAAACAAGCAAAGUGUAAAGACAUGCCAAUAAUAAGAGAGAAGAUUCGAAAUAACCUAACAUAAACCCAGUUAAAAGAACAUAGAGUUUCAAAAGAAAAAAAUGGGGAAACUUCGAGAAACAUGCUCAAAAAGUUCAAACACACAUAGAUUUAGAGAAGAUCUAAAAAUAAAUCGAAGAAACCGUAGAGCUAGGGUUUCGUAAGAAACCUAAGAGAUGAGAAAGGCUUUGAAAACUCCUGAUCUAGGCGGGAUAGUUGAAAAUCGAACUCGAAUAGCCAUGGCUGGCCAGACAGAAGUUGAAGAUGACCGGAGAGCAGCCAUCGAGCAAAAUCUUGGUCGAGACCCCUUCAAUAUCUGGUUGUAGGACCUCAGAGAUGAGAAUAUAGAAGCCAUGAGAGGCCGGUAUAGGCCUCUGAUGAGUCUGGGAAGCCAUGGAUUAAGGUUUCAAUGGUAGGCAGCAACUAGGGAUUAGGUGAGUUGAGAGAAGGGAGGAAUCAAAGGGCGGCGUUUGGUGAGAAAUAGGGUAGGGCAAUAGGUCGUUUGGAAUUAAAAAAUAAAAGGAGAGGUUUGGGUCGUUGAUCAAAAUGAUCAACGACUCAGAUUAAAGAAAGAAUGUACGGGUCUGGGUUGAAUAGGUAAUUGGGAUGGGGUGAUUUGGGCUUAAUUUGGGGCUGAAUGGGGUUGCUAAAGUGGCUAUAACUGAAAUGUAAUUGGGGCCAAAUCGUAAAUAGCCACUUUUUUCCUUUAAUUUUUUAUAAAAUAGUAAUAAAAAUUUUAUAAGUAGAUUAAGCGUACUGGGUAAAUACAUAUUAUAUAAAUAUUAAUUUAAAAAUACUUAAAUUAAUUUUAUAAUUGUAAAAUACUAUAAAUCACAAGAGAUGCUAUAAUUGCAAUUAUAUGCAAUUUAGCUUAAAAUGCCAAAUGAAUUUGUAAAAAUAUGCAAAAAUUAUAUUAAUUAUAUUUUUGUAUAAAUAUGAAAAUAAAAUAAGUUCUUCACCAAAAAUAAUAAUUUUUGGGAGUAGUUAUUGGAUUUUGUGGUAUAAAAUAGGCAAUAAAUUGGUUUUAAAAAUAUUAAAAAUACCAAAACUAUUGUGUGCACUUAUAUAUGCACCUAUAUGCUAUUCUUAAAGUAUUUUGGGUACAAAAAAUAUAUGAAAAAAAUUGGGUAUCAACAAGCGUUUUGGAUUUGAGAAGUAUUAUUUGGGGUUGAGAAUUACUAGAGAAGAGACUAAGAUGGAGAGUUGCUAAUGAAAAAAAUGUUUAUGUUUGGAGAGAUCCUUGGAUUUCCAAUGCUACUAAUUUUAGACCUUAUAGAAGUACUGUUAAUGUUAACGAUAACUUAGGCCUAAGAGUGACAUAGCUUAUAAAUUUAGAAUUUGGGACUUAAAAAUUGGAAGAAUUAAAUAGACUUUUUUUGUAAAGAUGAUAUAAAUGCUAUGUUGACAAUUCCUUUAUCCACAACUACUUUCAAGGAUAAAUUAUAUGGCACUUUACCAAAUUCGGCAACUAUGAAGUUAGAUUUGGUUAUCAUACUGCAAAAAUUAGGCAAACAAGGUGAGAAUAGCAGGAAUAUUGCUCUUGUCAUUCUUUCCCUAAAGCUUUUUGAAAUUAUUUAUGGCUAUGGAUAAUAAAAAUAAGCAUAAACAUUUCAUUAGAAGAUGUAUACUUAACACUUUAUCUGCGAAUAAUAUUCUUAGAAAGAGAAUGAAGUAAAUUAAUGGUGUAUAUAAAAGAUGUAGCUUAGAGAAUGAAAAUGUAGAAUAUAUGCUUUUUAAUUGUUAAUUGGAAUGACAUUGAUGGUAUUGCUUAUUUCUCUAUAUGGUGGAAUGAUAAGAUGAACAAGGCAAAUAAAUUUUCUGGUUCUGUUAUGGUGCCAAAUUUGUUUGUAAGCUAUUGAAAUGGCAAUUCAAAAUGGAUGGACGAAAAUAUAUUUUUUCUUUGAUGCGAAAGGGAUUGUAGAAUAUUUGGAACAUGUCUUCAAUCCUUGAGCAUGUAUUCCUAGAAUGUUUAAUUCUGUUGCUUAUAACUUAACGUAAUAAUCUUUUUCUUUAGUACAUGAUUUUUCUUGGGAAAGUAUAUUCCCAAGUUGAUAGAUGAAUAUUUUCGAUAGAAAAAAAAAUGAAAAAUGGGAUAAGCCAACUACAGGAACUAAAAGUAUUACUCCAUCCGUUUCAAUUUAUGUGAAUCCAUUUAACUGGACCCAAUUUAAAAAAAUAAAGAAGAUUUUUGAAUUUGUGGUGUAAAAUAAGACACAUAUAUUUUAUAUGAAUAUAAAUUAUUACAUAAAAUUAAAUUAUUUUUAAAUACGCAAAUGAGUUAAAAAAGAAAUAUAUUCACUAGGUAGUAUUCAUUUUAAAAUAAUGGCUACCCUGUGUUAUUUCUACGGAUUUACGUUCCAUGUCAAUUUGGACUUCCUCAUUUUUCACGUGAUAAAAAUCCUACACGGGUAAAAAGACAACUCUUGGCAGAGUGGUUGGUAGUCCUACCGUACUGUUUCGUUUCUCUUUUAAUCAGCGCUUCAUUACUGUUUCUCCCUCCUCUUGCUCCGUUCCUCCAUUUUUCUCUCUCUCGGUACAAUGACAAUUAGGCUCUUCUUUCUUCUCGCCCUCUUCCUAUCUGCUUCAUCAAUUCUUCAUGGUUCGUUCCUCAGAUCCAGAUCUCUUUGCCCCCCACACUCCAUUUCCACUACGUUCUUCUUCUCAGAUUCAGAUUUUCCCCCUUUGGCCAAUUGCUCUAACUUUAGAUAUAUUAUCGUUCUUUGCAUGUACUGUAUUCAUUGUUUUGAAAUAUAAAAUUUUUAUACCAGUUCCGAGACAAUUGUGAUCACAAUGGAAUAGUGGGUGCUUGUUAACUUAAAAUCUCUGUGAUUAUAUAUUUUCUGCAUGCUCAUGCAGGAUAAUGUGAGGAAGUGUAUGUUGUCUUAACAUUAGUUUAUCAUCCCUUGGUUUGAUUUUGGGUAGUGAGAUUCAAUUGGGCCAAAGUAAAGGUUUAAUUAUUUGAAUGUUCGUCUCAAUCACUUAAUUUUACAUUUCUAGAGUUGUGUUUUCUUUUUGCGAUUGCUUUGUAUUCGUUUCCAAUAAAAAACAAAUUAUUGAGUAUUGGAAUGAAAUAGGAUGAAAAAGGGCAAAAUGGACGAAGUUGAUUCAUCAUUGACCAUAGCUAGUUUGGGAUUACGACGUAGUAGCUGUUGCUAUUAUAUUAUGGUCCGGGUGAUAUUUGGUUGGAUUUGAUUUGGCCUUUUUAAGUAAAUCUGUUAUGUCUCUUUAUAAGGUAUUUUGUUCCUGUGAUGUUAAAUUGUAACCGUACAAUUGAACUCUUUGAUGGUUUUACCCAACUGAAGCUGGAAGUCAGUUCACAGUUAAUCUUUGGAAAUACCCUUUGGAAUUUGUAUUAGCAUUAUAUUCAUUUUUCAUGGCAAAGUUACUCAAACUGUCUAUUAGUUGAAAUUUUCCUCUGAUGCAAUGUGCUGGAAAAAACUGUUGAUGCAUGCAUUAAUAGAUCCUUUUCCACCAUAAAGAUUUUUAGUUCACUUGAUUUCUGGUGUGAGUCAGACACAUUUCAAUACCUUAUGAUCCUUUAGGCUGUUGAUUGUGAAGGGGAUCUUGUUGGAUUUGAGACUAUUAUUUAAUAAUUCAUUUUUGGUUUUUUACGAUGUUUAUAUUUCUU